Long non-coding RNA from Erpetoichthys calabaricus (reedfish), 1180 nucleotides. RefSeq lists it as uncharacterized. NCBI's taxonomy places the organism in Eukaryota, Metazoa, Chordata, Cladistia, Polypteriformes, Polypteridae. The record is from RefSeq and is a predicted model, not a curated record. The transcript is spliced from 5 exons.
UGUGAUGGUUCUUAGUCAUUCUUUUCCAUUACUAGAAUGAUGUGUGAGUUACAAAAAGAGAUCAAGCAAACCUUACUGUGAGUGACACCAAGCCUUCCUGAGGAGCCACUCAAUCAGUCAGUUGAGAAACGUGUAGGCUGAGGAGUAGAAGAUUUAAUGUACGUGAAAGAAGAGGACAUCUUAAGAGUUCAUACAAUCUGUCUAGUGCCAAACUGCUCAGCGCCUGGAAAGAUCCUGAACAAAGAAGCAGCAUUUUGGUUCAGUAAUUAGUUUGAUCUAGGUCUCCUCAAAAUUCACCGCAAAUGAGCUCCUCAGGCUCCUCAGUAAGAAAAUGGAUGGACUCACGCUUCAAGCAGAUGCAUUUGCCACUUCAGCAGAUGUCCAAGGAACACUCACCUUGCCUGACAGUCCUUGAAUUUUAAUUCUUGGUCAAACUCUAAGCAACCAGCAGUGGAUGGUGAGCAUUGAAGGUCACGUUGUAUGUGAGGGAACACAACUCAGCUUUGUCUGUGGCCAUGCUGCUGUGUUUGCUUCAUGUUAGAAUUUCAACUUCCAAUAUAGGAAGAGACUGCAAGCACCCUUGAUUUUGUUCAAAGAUGAUUUAUUGACAUCAACCCUGAACAAAUGUCCAAGGUCAAUCAAGGAAAAGCAACAUCCAAGAAGACUAGCCAGGUAGUCCAUAACAAGAAGAACUCAGUAAACCCUCAUUUUUCUUAUCCACUUUGUAAGAUAAUGGACUUUGAACGGAAUUUGGUCCGAGUUCAUCCAAGACCACUUUGUUCACUUUUAAUUUUGACAGUUUAGGCAAUUUUUGUCUAACAUGGUGUUCAUAUUCUAUUUUAAUGUGAAAGUCAACAUUGGUGCUACUUUUAAAUUUAGUACUGAAUGCUGCACUGUGUUUAUUGCCAGUGUUUCCCACCUCUGUUGCAACCAUUUGUGUUUAUCUGAAAUAAUGAAAGACUGCUAACAAUUGAAAAACUUGUAAUGUAAAAAGCUAAUCAAGAUCUUAAAAAUAAAUGUUUAUUGGAAUGUUUCAAAUGAAAGAAGCAUUAUUUGUUUAAAUUAAUCUGUUAGUAAAUAUUGCAAUAUAAUGUCCUUAUCAAUGCUGUGCUGACACUAUAAAAUGGUAUUCACAGCAUAAGCAAUGUAAAAAUACAAUACAUAACUGUAGAAAAUACAG